This is a non-coding RNA of Cicer arietinum (chickpea), 236 nucleotides long. Lineage: Eukaryota; Viridiplantae; Streptophyta; Magnoliopsida; Fabales; Fabaceae. The record is from RefSeq and is a predicted model, not a curated record.
UUCUUAAGUUUCCUCUCUUCCCUGGUUCUUUGGAGAUUGACAUACCUUGGCCAUUGAUAAUGUUCUGAUAGCCAGGGUGUAUGAUAUCAUCUAAUGUCAAAUUCAUAUGCUCUCCACCCAACAAUGGCACUGAUAUUGUACACCCUGUCUCUCAUUCCCUUUUCCUACAAAUGUAAUUUUUGUUCCUUUCGUCCAUCCUGAUUGUACAUUUAUUGUUAAUUGUUCUUCCUCUUGAA